GAUGAAGAACGUAGCGAAAUGCGAUACGUAAUGUGAAUUGCAGAAUUCAGUGAAUCAUCGAAUCUUUGAACGCAUAUUGCGCUCUCUGGUAUUCCGGAGAGCAUGCUUGUUUGAGUAUCAGUAAACACCUCAACUCCCCUUUCUUUUUUUGAAAUGGGAGCUGGACUUGAGUGAUCCCAACGCUUUUCUCACCGAAAAGUGGCGGGUUACUUGAAAUGCAGGUGCAGCUGGACUUUUCUCUGAGCUAAAAGCAUAUCUAUUUAGUCUGCCUAAAAAACAGAUUAUUACCUUUGCUGCAGCUAACAUAAAGGAGAUUAGUUCUUGUGCUGACUGAUGCAGGAUUCACAGAGACAGCUUUGGCUGGCCUUUGUAAACUCGAUCUCAAAUCAAGUAAGACUACCCGCUGAACUUAAGCAUAUCAAUAAGCGGAGGA
Molecule: unclassified non-coding RNA, 433 nt
Filed under: soil metagenome
Description: partial contains 5.8S ribosomal RNA, internal transcribed spacer 2, and large subunit ribosomal RNA
Rfam family: 5.8S ribosomal RNA (bases 1-120)
Source: RNAcentral